RNAcentral lists this ribosomal RNA (1796 nucleotides) under Clostridioides difficile. RNAcentral's name for it is "bacterial LSU rRNA". It matches the Rfam family "Bacterial large subunit ribosomal RNA", at positions 810 to 2623 of the family's 2925-position model. Lineage: Bacteria; Bacillati; Bacillota; Clostridia; Peptostreptococcales; Peptostreptococcaceae. The record is from RNAcentral.
UGUGGGUAGCGGUGAAAUUCCAAUCGAGCCCGGAGAUAGCUGGUUCUCCCCGAAAUAGCUUUAGGGCUAGCCUCAAGGUGAGAGAUACGGAGGUAGAGCACUGAAUGUCCUAGGGGGUAUUGCACCUACCGAAGACUAUCAAACUCCGAAUGCCGUCAUCUUAUACUUGGGAGUCAGACUGUGGGUGAUAAGAUUCAUAGUCGAAAGGGCAACAGCCCAGAUCGUCAGCUAAGGUCCCUAAAUGUAAGUUAAGUGGUAAAGGAUGUGGGAUUGCACAGACAACCAGGAUGUUGGCUUAGAAGCAGCCACUCAUUCAAAGAGUGCGUAAUAGCUCACUGGUCGAGUGAUCCUGCGCCGAAGAUUUCCGGGGCUAAAACUUACUACCGAAGCUACGGCAUCAGUAAUGAUGGGUAGGGGAGCUUCCCAUACGGGUUGAAGCAUGACCGUAAGGACAUGUGGACAGUAUGGGAGUGAGAAUGUUGGCAUGAGUAGCGAGAUGUGGGUGAGAAUCCCACAGGCCGUAAACCCAAGGUUUCCAGGGGAAGGUUCGUCCGCCCUGGGUUAGUCGGGACCUAAGCUGAGGCCGAAAGGCGUAGGUGAUGGACAACAGGUUGAUAUUCCUGUACUACCGAUAACCGUUUGAGAGAAGGGAUGACACAGUAGGAUAAGCUAAGCACACUGUUGGUUAUGUGUGCCCAAGCAUUGAGGCAGUCAAAGUAGGCAAAUCCGCUUUGAUAAUGCUGGGAUGUGAUGGGGAGCGAAAUUUAGUAGCGAAGUAGCUGAUUUCACACUGUCAAGAAAAGUCUCUAUCGAGGUUAAAGGUACCCGUACCGCAAACCGACACAGGUGGGUGAGGAGAGUAUCCUAAGGCCAGCGAGAGAACUGUUGUUAAGGAACUCGGCAAAAUGACCCCGUAACUUAGGGAUAAGGGGUGCCACCAUCAGGUGGCCGCAGAGAAUAGGCCCAAGCGACUGUUUACCAAAAACAUAGGUUUCUGCUAAGUCGCAAGACGAUGUAUAGGAGCUGACGCCUGCCCGGUGCUGGAAGGUUAAGGGGAUCUGUUAGAGCAAUCGAAGCAGUGAACUUAAGCCCCAGUAAACGGCGGCCGUAACUAUAACGGUCCUAAGGUAGCGAAAUUCCUUGUCGGGUAAGUUCCGACCCGCACGAAAGGCGUAACGAUUUGGGCACUGUCUCAACAACAGACUCGGUGAAAUUGUAAUUCCGGUGAAGAUGCCGGAUACCUGCGACAGGACGGAAAGACCCCAUGGAGCUUUACUGUAGCUUGACAUUGGGUCUUGGUACUACAUGUACAGGAUAGGUGGGAGGCUUUGAAACCAGGACGCCAGUUUUGGCGGAGCCAUCCUUGGGAUACCACCCUUGUAGUACUGGGACUCUAACCAUAGGCCAUGAAUCUGGUCUUGGGACACUGUCAGGUGGGCAGUUUGACUGGGGCGGUCGCCUCCCAAAAGGUAACGGAGGCGCUCAAAGGUUCUCUCAGUACGGUCGGAAAUCGUACGUAGAGUGUAAAGGCAAAAGAGAGCUUGAUUGCAAGACAUACAGGUCGAGCAAGGAUGAAAAUCGGACUUAGUGAUCCGGUGGUUCUGCGUGGAAGGGCCAUCGCUCAACGGAUAAAAGCUACCCUGGGGAUAACAGGCUUAUCUCCCCCAAGAGUCCACAUCGACGGGGAGGUUUGGCACCUCGAUGUCGGCUCAUCACAUCCUGGGGCUGUAGUAGGUCCCAAGGGUUGGGCUGUUCGCCCAUUAAAGUGGUACGCGAGCUGGGUUCAGAACGUCGUG